Molecule: long non-coding RNA, 519 nt
Organism: Gorilla gorilla gorilla (western lowland gorilla)
Lineage: Eukaryota; Metazoa; Chordata; Mammalia; Primates; Hominidae
Exons: 4
Source: RefSeq, a predicted model, not a curated record
UCUUCAUGUCACAGCAUGUAUAUGAUGAAUAAGAUGGACAAAAUCUUUGCACACAUGAGCUUACAUUCCUGUGACAACAACCAAAUAAGGUGUUUUCAGAAUAAGGCAUGGCAGUCAGCCAACAGCAGGCAUCAUCAGAGAACUUGGAAGAGGCUUGGAGGCAGAAACUGAAGUGUGAUGCUGCAUAUCUGGAGGAUGUGAACUGUACGUUUGCACACUGACAGGUGUAGCACAGUUCCUGAUAAGACAGAGGGCGCUCAAGGUGUGAUGUUUGAUGGAUGGAUGCUCACUUCAUUCAAUCCCACUUUUCCUGAGCACCUACGAUGAGCUAAGCUGAGCACGGGAACCACAAGGAAUAACCGAUCGAAGUGCUUGCCCUCAAGGAGUUCUGAGUUUAGUAAAAGGAGAAGGUGGAGAAGGUGAAACUCCCAGGAGUCAUAGGAGGAAAGCUGCUCUGGGACGUGGAGGUGUGAAUUGGGAUAACACCCUGGCCUGGCCUGCUGGUGGCCAGCACGGACU